RNAcentral lists this long non-coding RNA (1044 nucleotides) under Lynx pardinus (Iberian lynx). Lineage: Eukaryota; Metazoa; Chordata; Mammalia; Carnivora; Felidae. The record is from RNAcentral.
GGUGAGUCCUGUCCCACUCUGGCCAGUGGGAACAGUUGCGUUUUUUACAGUAAGGGUGUACUCGUGUAUUGCUUAUGUAAAAAACCAGUGAAGAUAAAAGAAACAAAAUUUAUUUAACAGAUGCAUGUUCCUGGUCAUUCGGGAUUUAUAGGCAAUGAAGAAGCUGACAGAUUAGCAAGAGAAGGAGCUAAGCAAUCUGAAGACUGAACAAAGUAAUUUUAAUUCUUGGAAAAGCUUCCGUGAGUGACUCUUUUCUUACCCUUCCUUACUGGUGUGAAAAAUAAAUCAGAAGGUACAUCAGAAGGUCAUUCUGUGAUUCCCUGUGGUUACAUGUAUAAUACAUUGAACAAAUUUGAGAUUUGAGCAUUAUUUGAGAUUUCAGCAUUAUGCUUUAUUGGGUUGGACACUGUUCUCAUUAGUUUUAUGACCAUCUGGACAGAAAUUUUAGGACUGGAUUUAAUAAGGCAUGAAUACAGCAGUGGUUUUAAAAUGCAGACAGGAAGUCUGGAAGUAUUCUAAAAGUGUUUAUUUACCUUACAGUUGGCAGGAUUCAGUCUCAGAAUAUUCUGGUUGACUUGUACCUCUCUGUGGAGUAGAGCAAGUCAGGGCUGGGCCCACACCUCGGUGCAGAGAGAGCGGACUGGGUCUUACCUGCCCGGGCACCUGUGCGCAAGGCAGGCCUGCACAUCCGUAGUCCUGGCUGCUUGACCACUGAUGGGAGCAGUUACUUACACAGCAAAAUGCAUAAAUAAACCUUUUAAAAUUUCUUUGGCUGUUUUUUGUUUUGUUUUAAUUUUUUUUAACGUUUGUUUAUUUUUGAGAGACAGACUGUGAGCUGGGGAAAGGGCAGAGAGAGGGAGACACAGAAUCCAAAGGAGGCUCCAGGCUCUGAGCUGUCAGCACAGAGCCCGACGCGGGGCUCGAACCCACAAGCCGUGAGAUCAUGACCUGAGCCAAAGUUGGAUGCUUAACCGACUGAGCCACCCAGGCGCCCCACUUUGGCUGUUUCUCUUAAAAGCACUGUGCAAGUUAAAGUUUGAUAUA